CAUUGGGCCUUAGUGGUGGUUGCCAAGAGAUGGCAAUAAAGGAUUCGCUGAUUGGAGUCACAGACAAGGGACUGACACUCUGAGGAAUUGUCGAGGGUGUGGUCACUCUUGUGGGCAAGCUCUCAGUGCAGCCUCCUAGGAAGCCAUCACCUCCAGUGCAAGCUAUCACCGUGACCGAGUAGUUUGUGUAGGGGACCAGCUCCACUGAAGAAUCACAGACAAACAAUUGCACAAUAAAGUGCAUGGAUGUUCUAAAUUUUUUUAAGGCUUUUUGCCAUGGUACCACAAGAGAGGGGCCUUCAGACUGGCACAACGAGGACAUGUAACCUAACAUAUAUUAGGAAUCUCAAAGUUUCAUAAAGGCAUGAGAUAAUUAAGGAUUGAAUCCCAACACAGAAAAGAACACAGAAAUGGAGAAAACCUAGAUAUGCCUAAAACCUAGAGGCAAGGAACUGCCUGACCCAUAAAUGAAGAUGAUGGAGCCAGCCUGCUUAACACACACGUGGCACUACUUGGACCUCUUCUCCUCUUGGACGUGCCAAGGUUUGAGCUCAGCACUGAGACCAUGAAAGAGGAUGCCCAUGAGGAAGAGAGAAUAAGCAGUUGGAACCCUGCAACUUAAUUCUGAGCUAUCUGAGGAGAGGCAUUGGCACAUAUACUGCUUGUAACCUCUACAAACAGAAUGUAAUAAAUACACUACUGAGAGCUUUUCACUGUUGGUCUCAAAGCAUAUUGUAAGUCUCAAAUUGCAAAUAUUACUCCAGUUUUAGAGACAGAAAGACUUAAUCCCAGAUUAAAUGACAUAUCAGAAAGAAGCCAAACUCCAAACAAAGACCUGCUACCCUAAUUCUGCAUUCCAGCCACUGGACUAGUCCUCUGACAAUCUCCCAGCUCCCCCAGAAUGGUCAGGAGAAGAAUUUCCUCCAAAAUUCUUAUCUGUCUUAACAGAAAUUAUUGCAGCUUCAAUCAAGAGCCAGGAUCAUACUGGAAAUGUAAAUUCUGAGAAAGGUCACUGAUAUUUCUGCUCAUAAA
Molecule: long non-coding RNA, 1032 nt
Organism: Passer domesticus (house sparrow)
Lineage: Eukaryota; Metazoa; Chordata; Aves; Passeriformes; Passeridae
Exons: 7
Source: RefSeq, a predicted model, not a curated record